UACGUAGGGACCGAGCGUUGUCCGGAAUCAUUGGGCGUAAAGAGCGUGUAGGCGGCCACUUAAGUCCUGCGUGAAAUCUUGCGGCUCAACCGCAAGCGGUCGUGGGAAACUGGGUGGCUAGAGUGCGGGAGAGGAGAGUGGAAUUCCUGGUGUAGCGGUGGAAUGCGCAGAUAUCAGGAAGAACACCCGUGGCGAAGGCGGCUCGCCGGAACGCAACUGACGCUGAGACGCGAAAGCGUGGGGAGCAAACAGG
This 253-nucleotide ribosomal RNA is filed under the name uncultured bacterium. RNAcentral's name for it is "partial 16S ribosomal RNA". It matches the Rfam family "Bacterial small subunit ribosomal RNA", at positions 524 to 776 of the family's 1533-position model. The record is from RNAcentral.